AUACGUAGGUGACAAGCGUUAUCCGGAUUUACUGGGCGUAAAGGGCGUGUAGGCGGUCUUGCAAGUCAGAAGUGAAAUUCCUGAGCUCAACUCGGGCGCUGCUUCUGAAACUGCAGGACUUGAGUGCUGGAGGGGAUAGCGGAAUUCCUAGUGGAGCGGUAAAAUGCGCAGAUAUUAGGAAGAACACCGGUGGCGAAGGCGGCUAUCUGGACAGUAACUGACGCUGAGGCGCGAAAGCGUGGGGAGCAAACAGGAUUAGAUACCCGGGUAGUCCACGCCGUAAACGAUGGAUACUAGGUGUGGGGGGUCUGACCCCCUCCGUGCCGCAGCUAACGCAAUAAGUAUCCCACCUGGGGAGUACGAUCGCAAGGUUGAAACUCAAAGGAAUUGACGGGG
RNAcentral lists this ribosomal RNA (396 nucleotides) under uncultured bacterium. RNAcentral describes it as "partial 16S ribosomal RNA". It matches the Rfam family "Bacterial small subunit ribosomal RNA", at positions 523 to 918 of the family's 1533-position model. The record is from RNAcentral.